AAAAGCGUGGUGGCUACACUCUGCUGCUAGAGGCUGGCCUCUCUGUCCGUGCCAACUCCCUGCGAGCUGGCACUACAGGGACAACGGAGAGAAAAAGGGGAUGGCAGGGAAGAUGGACGUCUGCCAUGGAUGCGUGGGGCUGGGUGCCUGGUGCCAGGGGGCGGCAGGGCCAACACUCAGACAAAACCCCCAUCAGAGAAGGCAGCACAUCUGAGAGGCACAGCGCCUGGCAGAGGAGCUGCGGAAGUCCUGACUGGAAUGGGUGCAGCCCUCCCUUGGUUCAGAGUGGGAUCACUUCCGUGCCAAGAAGAGGGCAAAAAGGCUGCUGGACACCCCACUUUUUGCAGGACAGUGGGUAGGCAUUUGAAUCCUGAUCACUCAGGAUCAGAAGCCCACCAGGAAUAGGACAUGCCAGAGGUGCUGGCUGAGAUGACAAAGAGGAGUGGAUCAGGUGGGUGAGACCAGAAGAGAAGAAAGCACCUACUGGGUGGCCAAGCAGGAAGGAGGGGUCUAGAGGCAGAAAGGACAAGUGGAGGGAGAAGAAAAAGAGAAAAGGAGCUGGCAGAGAACCAGCUUCCUCCCUAAUCUUCCGGACACUUGGUUUCCCAGAGCCUUCACUCUGGGAAAGAGGGAAAAACACACCCAUCUGACUGGGAAGGACUCAGGUGUGUACCCUAUCCACCCCCUUACUCCCCACUGGCUUCUGCUACCUGCUCUCCAUGUGGGCUUCUCUAGCUCUCUGCUAAGGGAGAGGAGGGGAGAAGAGGUAGGGGCAGGCAGCUCUCCAAAGAUUCUCCUUCUCUGAAUUCAGAGAGAGUGUAUACCCACAUCUGCACAUGGAUGAAAGUGUGGCUUCAUGGAUUCAGCAAUAAAUCAAAUAAGCCCUU
Long non-coding RNA from Erinaceus europaeus (western European hedgehog), 887 nucleotides. RefSeq lists it as uncharacterized. The record is from RefSeq and is a predicted model, not a curated record. Lineage: Eukaryota; Metazoa; Chordata; Mammalia; Eulipotyphla; Erinaceidae. The transcript is spliced from 5 exons.